Non-coding RNA from Schizosaccharomyces pombe (fission yeast), 1473 nucleotides. Lineage: Eukaryota; Fungi; Ascomycota; Schizosaccharomycetes; Schizosaccharomycetales; Schizosaccharomycetaceae. The record is from the annotation of a GenBank genome assembly.
UACCCAGACUAAUUUCCGAUUGCCCUAAUAGAUAUUGUCGAAGCAAUAUACAUUCCCUUCAAUAUUCUACUAGUUCCAUAAUUUACUAAAGUGAUUCAACAUUUGUGAGUGUAGUCAUGAUAUUAUACUUCUUUACAAUAAUGGUAUCAUUAAACUAAGCGAAAAUAGCUCCUUUAUCAUAUUACUAUCCCUCUGCUCCAAAGUCCUUUGUAAAUUGUGUGUGCUUUUCUAUAUCACCAGCAUUAAGCGUAGGCUUGACUUUACGAACUGCACUGUAGAAAUCUCGAACAGUAAGUUUUGGUUCCAUAAUGUCUUCAGGAUUCACCUCUAGCCAACUAGAUUCAAAUGCAUCAGGAUCACCAGGAGAACAAGGAGUUACAAGGGUCCUAUUAGACUUGUUAUCAUAUACCUCUUUGAAAUGGGUAGCUGUGUGAAUUCGUCUUACAGGCUCCAUUAUUGCAUCACGAACAACAAUAGAAAUAUCUGAACCCGAGUAGCCAUCGGUCAUUUUAGCAAGUUCUUUGAAAUCUUGUGAGGUCAGUUCCGAAGGUAUUUUACCGACAUUAAGCUCGAACAUCCGAGCGCGGGCAUGAGCAUUAGGCAGGGGAAUGUAAAUACGCUUUUCGAAACGUCGGCGAAUAGCAGAAUCAAGAGUCCAAGGAAUAUUCGUGGCACCCAGAACCAGAACUCCACUUUCAUCCUUUCCAACUCCAUUCAUUUGUACCAAAAAUUCUGUCUUAAUCCUUCGAGAAGAUUCACUCUCACCUUCGCUUCUGCUUCCGCACAGUGAAUCGAUUUCAUCAAUGAAAAUGAUAGAUGGUUUUUGUUCACGCGCCAUUUCAAAAAGUUGACGAACAAGCCUAUAAUGUUAGUCAUGUAAAUAUUAAAGAGUAAAUAGUUUUAACGUAGAAUAACAAACCUUUCGCUUUCACCCAUCCAUUUACUAACUAAAUCUGAGGAGCUAAUCGAAAAGAAAGUAGAACCAGCUUCAGUAGCGACUGCUUUUGCAAGGUACGAUUUACCAGUACCAGGAGGACCAUAGAGCAAUAUUCCUGACCAAGGCUUUCUACCGUGUGAAAAUAAUUGCGGCAGCUUAAUAGGUAGCAAAACUGUCUCUUUCAAAGCUUCUUUUGCGUUUUCUAGUCCCGCUAUAUCAUCCCAACGAACGUUUGGUUUUUCUACUAAAAUUGCACUAGUCAAUGCACUUCUUAACUUUUUUGCAUCAGAGUCUAACGCUUCAUUAGCGGUUGGAGAAUUGCUCCCCUCUACAUUUCCAUUAGAGACUCUACUUUUUGAAGAAAUUUGAUUGUUUUUCUCCUGUAAAUAAACCUUGAGCUUCUCCGCUCUAUCUAGAUAUUCGAUAACUUUUGAACGAAUUAUUUCUUUAGAUUUUUCAUUUUUUUCAUCUGAAAUAUUAGCAAACAAUAACUUGAAAAUGUAGAUCCAAAUAUAAAUUUCCUUAUGAAUCAUUGC